This 446-nucleotide ribosomal RNA is filed under the name uncultured bacterium. RNAcentral describes it as "bacterial SSU rRNA". It matches the Rfam family "Bacterial small subunit ribosomal RNA", at positions 28 to 490 of the family's 1533-position model. The record is from RNAcentral.
GACGAACGCUGGCGGCGUGCUUAACACAUGCAAGUCGAACGGUAAGGCCCUUCGGGUACGACGAGUGGCGAACGGGUGGAGUAACACGUGGGUGAUCUGCCCUGCACUUCGGGAUAAGCCUGGGAAACUGGGUCUAAUACCGGAUAGGACCAUGGACUUCACGGUUUGUGGUGGAAAGCUUUUGCGGUGUGGGAUGGGCCCGCGGCCUAUCAGCUUGUUGGUGGGGUAAUGGCCUACCAAGGCGACGACGGGUAGCCGGCCUGAGAGGGUGUCCGGCCACACUGGGACUGAGAUACGGCCCAGACUCCUACGGGAGGCAGCAGUGGGGAAUAUUGCACAAUGGGCGCAAGCCUGAUGCAGCGACGCCGCGUGAGGGAUGACGGCCUCGGGUUGUAACCUACUUUCUAAUAGGACGAAGCGCAAGUGACGGUACCGUAUAGAAGAAG